UAGUUUGAUCCUGGCUCAGGACGAACGCUGGCGGCGUGCUUAACACAUGCAAGUCGAACGGGAACCUUUAUUUCGGUAAAGGUGAGAGUGGCAAACGGGUGAGUAACACGUAGGCAACCUGCCGACAGGAUGGGGACAACAUUCCGAAAGGAAUGCUAAUACCGAAUGAAGUCCGAGAGGGGCAUCCCUCUUGGAUGAAAGAUGGCCUCUGAACAUGCUAUCACCUGUCGAUGGGCCUGCGUCUGAUUAGCCAGUUGGCGGGGUAACGGCCCACCAAAGCGACGAUCAGUAGCCGGUCUGAGAGGAUGAACGGCCACAUUGGGACUGAGACACGGCCCAGACUCCUACGGGAGGCAGCAGUGGGGAAUCUUCCACAAUGGGCGAAAGCCUGAUGGAGCAACGCCGCGUGAGUGAAGAAGGUCUUCGGAUCGUAAAGCUCUGUUGCAGGGGACGAAAACCGGGUUUGAGAACAUUGAGCCUGGGUGACGGUACCUUGCGAGGAAGCCACGGCUAACUACGUGCCAGCAGCCGCGGUAAUACGUAGGCGGCGAGCGUUGUCCGGAAUUAUUGGGCGUAAAGGGAGCGCAGGCGGGCUGCCAAGUCCAUCUUAAAAGUGCGGGGCUCAACCCCGUGAGGGGAUGGAAACUGGCAGUCUUGAGUGCAGGAGAGGAAAGCGGAAUUCCCAGUGUAGCGGUGAAAUGCGUAGAUAUUGGGAGG
RNAcentral lists this ribosomal RNA (717 nucleotides) under uncultured bacterium. Its description in RNAcentral is "bacterial SSU rRNA". It matches the Rfam family "Bacterial small subunit ribosomal RNA", at positions 9 to 704 of the family's 1533-position model. The record is from RNAcentral.